CAAUCGGCUUUUUUCAGAGCCAACAAGUGUGUACUAAAGAGUUAUU
Non-coding RNA from Aedes aegypti (yellow fever mosquito), 46 nucleotides. The record is from Rfam. Lineage: Eukaryota; Metazoa; Arthropoda; Insecta; Diptera; Culicidae.